Molecule: ribosomal RNA, 791 nt
Filed under: uncultured Acidobacterium sp.
Lineage: Bacteria; Pseudomonadati; Acidobacteriota; Terriglobia; Terriglobales; Acidobacteriaceae
Description: bacterial SSU rRNA
Rfam family: Bacterial small subunit ribosomal RNA
Source: RNAcentral
CUACCAUGCAGUCGACGAGAAGGGUAGCAAUACCUGAGUAAAGUGGCGCACGGGUGAGUAACACGUGACUAACCUACCUUUUAGUGGGGGAUAACCUAGGGAAACCUGGGCUAAUACCGCGUUGGCGGGGUAAUGGCCCACCAAGGCGAUGAUCGGUAUCCGGCCUGAGAGGGCGCACGGACACACUGGAACUGAAACACGGUCCAGACUCCUACGGGAGGCAGCAGUGGGGAAUUUUGCGCAAUGGGGGAAACCCUGACGCAGCAACGCCGCGUGGAGGAUGAAGUCCCUUGGGACGUAAACUCCUUUCGAUCGGGACGAUAAUGACGGUACCGGAAGAAGAAGCCCCGGCUAACUUCGUGCCAGCAGCCGCGGUAAUACGAGGGGGGCAAGCGUUGUUCGGAAUUAUUGGGCGUAAAGGGUGCGUAGGUGGUUCGGCAAGUCUUGUGUGAAAUCUUCAGGCUCAACUUGAAGUCUGCACAAGAAACUGCCGGGCUUGAGUAUGGGAGAGGUGAGUGGAAUUUCCGGUGUAGCGGUGAAAUGCGUAGAUAUCGGAAGGAACACCUGUGGCGAAAGCGGCUCACUGGACCAUAACUGACACUGAGGCACGAAAGCUAGGGGAGCAAACAGGAUUAGAUACCCUGGUAGUCCUAGCCCUAAACGAUGAUCGCUUGGUGUGGCGGGUAUCCAACCCUGCCGUGCCGUAGCUAACGCGUUAAGCGAUCCGCCUGGGGGAGUACGUCGCAGCUGAAACUCAAGGAUUGACGGGGCCCGCACAGCGUGAGCAUGUG